CUCAAAUGAUCGACAUAUGGUCUACUUCCAAUCUUUUGGAUUCAAAGUACUCCAGCGUUUCUUCCUCUCCAAGAAUUCCAGCUGACAAUUUUCCGAUUACAUUUUUUUCUAUAGUGACCUAAUUCAAUUCGGUCUUUUCAACGUAAUUUUCUUCGUCAUUGAAGAAACAGGGUAAUGUGCAAUUUCACUGGUUCCGGUGUUCCAGCUCAGACCCCCAGUCUGAAGCCCUUUUUCUCCUCUCAAAUGGUGCAUAUGUGAGCAACUGGUGAAAAGGGGCAGGCACUGGGCGGGUACGCGUCCCGCUUCCCUUCAGCCCAGGAAACAGGCCAGCCAGGGGUCUGCCAGUGGACACGUCCUGGGGACGUUGGGGGCCCGGACUGAGGAACCCACGACGUUCCUGAGUCGACCCGCCUGCACCCCGGCACCUCAAGGAAUGGGUAAUCAAAAGAUGUUUCCUUAGGAGGAGAGAACCCCCAGGGUAACCCAGCAAGGGAGCAUCGCGGCACACUAGCCGCCAGUCCAGGGACGUCGCAAAGACGCGCGCCUGCGCAGUGGCGCUUCGCGCCUCGCCAGCUUUCCUUCCCACGACCUCCCUUCCAGCGCCUGCGUACCAAGACCCGCUUCCCGCAGGCCUGCGAAGCUGGGGAUACCGGAUAGCUUUUCCUGCCGACUGAGGUGGGAACGAUAGGCUCGUACCUGACUCCACUGUCUCUCCCGUCCCAGCCUACCAGACUAACUAUACACGUUCCAUCGCAAGUCACCCUAGAACGGAGGGACUUGAUCCUUGAGGAGUUCAGGAAACUGGCAUGCGCCCACGUAUCCCGGAGGGGUGUGUGUGUGUGUGUGUGUGUGUGUGUGUGUUGGGGGCGGUCACCCAGCGGCUCCGCUUCAAACUACCGUGAGACGAGAGCUGCCUCUAGGGCCCAACCCCCUCGCUUGGGUCUGGGGCCCCGCGAGACAGUGGGCAGGGGUGGGGGCGCCGAGAGCGGGGGCGGGGUGCAGCGGCCGAGUGACAGUAAGCCUCACCUAUACCGGGCGCGGACCGCGGCGGAGUAGUGGGCCCGGCAGCCAAUGGAAAGCGGCGGGAGGCGGGGGGACCGGCCAGCGGGGAGGGGGCGCCCACGCGGGGGAACGCGAGGGGAGGAGGGGAUGUGCUCCUGAUCCGGUUCCAUCCGGUUCUCCCACUGCCCCUGUCGCGAGUCCCAGCAGCUCCGGAGCUGGAGAAGCGGCAGCUACCAGGCAGCCCAGCUUCGCGAAGGCUCUCGGCGCGCUGCGGCCCGCAGGCUUCCGGCACGCGCCCGCCCCGCUGCCACGAAGCCCGAGAGGAAGGUCAGCUCCGCCGAGGGGGCAGCGAAGGAGGAGAAACCUGCUCCUGCAAAACUGGAAACGAAGCCCAAAAAGGCAUCAGGAAAGGUGGGUUUCAAACUUACAAUAAGAGUCUGUGGUGUCUUCGAAAUGCAGCAGUGCUUCGCAACAUGUGACUUUCCUUAAUAAAGCCAUUGCUGACCCCUAAGGUCUUGUGAAACUGUUAAUGACUAAGAUCUUGACUUUGAAUCUGUCACAAUAAUUAAUAGAUGUCAGUCUCCUGAAGUUGAAAUUUUAUCGUAUUUAUCUACUUAAACUUUGUAUUUUAAUAAGUAGACUUUUUUCCUCUGAUCUGGGUAAAAUAUAACAGAUACAAUUAUCCUGGCUUAUGGGAAUAUGUGUCACAUUAAUGCUGCUGCGAAUUUAGGACACUUAAGAUGGCUAGAAAUACUAAAUAUCGGCUUACAAAGGAAACUCAUUCUUUGUGUUGUGUACGUUUUGGGGUCGGUGGUUGUCCAUUGGUUGCAUGCUUGUACUUUUUUUUAAAUUUUUAUUGGGGAAUAUUGUGUUUCUCCAGUGCCCAUCAGCUCCAAGUCGUUGUCCUUCAAUCUUAGUUGCAGGGGCGCAGCUCAGCUCCAAGUCCAGUCGCCGUUUUAAAUCUUUAGUUGCAGGGGGCGCAGCCCACCAUCCCAUGUGGGAAUUGAACCGGCAACCUUGUUGUUGAGAGCUCGCACUCUAACCAACUGAGCCAUCCAGCCACCCCUCCGGAAGCUCAGCGGCAGCUCCUUAUCUUCAGUCUAGUUGUGGAGGGUGCAUCUCGCUGGCCCAUGUGGGAAUCGAACCAGCAACCCUGUUCAUAGCUCGCACUAUAACGAACUGAACCAUCUGGCCACCCCCAUGCUUGUAAUUUUAAUAACAGCAAAGCUAGGACUGAGGCCAGAAGAAAAGGAAUGUGUUAAGUUUUUGCAUGUAAAGUUUGCAGGCCAAGUUAGAGGG
Molecule: long non-coding RNA, 2301 nt
Organism: Rhinolophus ferrumequinum (greater horseshoe bat)
Lineage: Eukaryota; Metazoa; Chordata; Mammalia; Chiroptera; Rhinolophidae
Source: Ensembl